Molecule: non-coding RNA, 85 nt
Organism: Pelobates cultripes (western spadefoot toad)
Lineage: Eukaryota; Metazoa; Chordata; Amphibia; Anura; Pelobatidae
Source: the annotation of a GenBank genome assembly
UUUGGUGCACAGCGAGUGCACCUUCAUCAGGGGUCCUGGUCCUGGACCCAGACUCCUGACGAAGGUGCACUCGCUGUGCACCUAA